CAGCAGUCGCCGCGGUAAUACAGAGGGUGCGAGCGUUAAUCGGAUUUACUGGGCGUAAAGCGUGCGUAGGCGGCUAAUUGAGUCGGAUGUGAAAUCCCCGAGCUUAACUUGGGAAUUGCAUUCGAUACUGGUUAGCUAGAGUGUGGGAGAGGAUGGUAGAAUUCCAGGUGUAGCGGUGAAAUGCGUAGAGAUCUGGAGGAAUACCGAUGGCGAAGGCAGCCAUCUGGCCUAACACUGACGCUGAGGUACGAAAGCAUGGGGAGCAAACAGGAUUAGAUACCCCCGUAGUCCCUGUCUCUUAUAC
This 304-nucleotide ribosomal RNA is filed under the name uncultured bacterium. RNAcentral's name for it is "partial 16S ribosomal RNA". It matches the Rfam family "Bacterial small subunit ribosomal RNA", at positions 509 to 807 of the family's 1533-position model. The record is from RNAcentral.